This 253-nucleotide ribosomal RNA is filed under the name uncultured bacterium. RNAcentral's name for it is "partial 16S ribosomal RNA". It matches the Rfam family "Bacterial small subunit ribosomal RNA", at positions 524 to 776 of the family's 1533-position model. The record is from RNAcentral.
UACGUAGGGUGCAAGCGUUGUCCGGAAUUAUUGGGCGUAAAGAGCUCGUAGGCGGUUUGUUGCGUCGGCUGUGAAAUCCCGAGGCUCAACCUCGGGUCUGCAGUCGAUACGAGCAAACUAGAGUGUUGCAGGGGAGACUGGAAUUCCUGGUGUAGCGGUGAAAUGCGCAGAUAUCAGGAGGAACACCGGUGGCGAAGGCGGGUCUCUGGGCAGCAACUGACGCUGAGGAGCGACAGCGUGGGGAGCAAACAGG